GAAAGGGAGAGUAACGCGUGGGUAUUUACCCUCGGGACUGGGAUAGCUGCGGGAAACUGCAGGUAAUACCAGAUGAUGUCCCCGGACCAAAGGUGUGAUUCCGCCUGAGGAUAAGCCCGCGUCCUAUUAGCUAGUUGGUGAGGUAAUGGCUCACCAAGGCAAUGAUGGGUACUGGGUGUGAGAGCACGACCCAGCUCACUGGGACUGAGACACUGCCCAGACACCUACGGGUGGCUGCAGUCGAGAAUCUUCGGCAAUGGGCGCAAGCCUGACCGAGCGACGCCGCGUGUGGGAUGAAGGCCUUCGGGUUGUAAACCGCUGUCAGAGGGGAGGAAUGGGCGGAGGGUAAUCUCUUCGUUUUGACCUAUCCUCAGAGGAAGUGCGGGCUAAGUUCGUGCCAGCAGCCGCGGUAAGACGAACCGUACGAACGUUAUUCGGAAUCACUGGGCUUAAAGGGUGCGUAGGCGGCGAUGAAAGUUGGGUGUGAAAUCCCUCGGCUCAACCGAGGAACUGCGCCCAAAACUACAUUGCUUGAGGGAGAUAGAGGUGAGCGGAACUUAGGGUGGAGCGGUGAAAUGCGUUGAUAUCCUAAGGAACGCCAGGGGCGAAAGCGGCUCACUGGAUCUCUUCUGACGCUGAGGCACGAAAGCUAGGGUAGCGAACGGGAUUAGAUACCCCGGUAGUCCUAGCCGUAAACGAUGAGUACUAGAUGGAAAGGGUCCUUCCAUAGCCUUUUCAUCGAAGCGAAAGUGUUUAGUACUCCGCCUGGGGAGUAUGGUCGC
RNAcentral lists this ribosomal RNA (782 nucleotides) under uncultured bacterium. RNAcentral describes it as "bacterial SSU rRNA". It matches the Rfam family "Bacterial small subunit ribosomal RNA", at positions 100 to 889 of the family's 1533-position model. The record is from RNAcentral.